Lycium ferocissimum is the source of this 313-nucleotide long non-coding RNA. RefSeq lists it as uncharacterized. The record is from RefSeq and is a predicted model, not a curated record. Lineage: Eukaryota; Viridiplantae; Streptophyta; Magnoliopsida; Solanales; Solanaceae. The transcript has 2 exons.
AAAGAGCUUUUCAGACUGAAAUUCUGCUAGUUAACUUGCAUAGUAAUUGUUCUGUGAUGCAAUACAUUUUAAACAAUACUUUGUGUAAUCCUGACCUGUCAUCCCAGAAAAAGGGGCGAAAGACAAACAACAAUUCACAUACACUAAAACUGCUGGAGAUUGAGUUCUCCCAACAUAUUUCUUCAAAAUGCCUAAAUAAAAAACAACACGAACGCUCAACCCAUUAACAUAAAUUUGAAAAAUUGAAUCUUGAACGAACUGUAAAAAGAAAACCAACUUGCUGAAGUCGAAAGGAGAGAAACCCAGAAGCUAA